RNAcentral lists this small RNA (311 nucleotides) under Histoplasma capsulatum. RNAcentral describes it as "hypothetical RNA". Lineage: Eukaryota; Fungi; Ascomycota; Eurotiomycetes; Onygenales; Ajellomycetaceae. RNAcentral also lists the same sequence under 1 other name. The record is from RNAcentral.
CUGGCAUGUUGGCUCAGAUGGUUCUGCUCCCGCAAGCCCCCAGCUUUAUACCUUGGUUCAUGUUCCUGUGGCGGCUUUGGAUCGUCCUGGUCGUAGAAGCGGAAAUAGGGAGCAUCGAUACAGAUCCCUUCGCUUUUGUGGAGUGGAAGAUGGGUUAGUAGGAGUGUGAAGCUGCUCCGGUCUUCGACUGGCUUGGAUCGUCGCUGGAUCACGUCAUUGAUGAACUUGUACGUGUGUUGCUGAAUGGAUGGGUGAAGGGCCGGAGUAUCCAAUAAGAGGCUGUUGAGUACAAUAACGUGUAUUGAGGGGGU